AUGUAAAAAUUCUAGAUUUUAUAGCUAAAAGCAAUGUGAAAAAAAAUUGUAUCGAAUUUUCAUAUUUAGAGUAAUACUUUUUCCAAAUUUUUUUGAGAUUAGCCUAUUUAAAGUAUUUAUUUUAUCCAAUGGCAGUUGGUUUUGUUAAGUACAUUAUACUUAGUCGGUGUCCUAUUCUUAAAAUGGAUACACCUCUCCGUGAGAUAAUCACGAUUACCGCAUUAAAAUCAAAGUUAGGUCAAGUUCGCAUUAUCAAUAUUGUUGUGGAGAUUACUCAGUGCUGCUGUAAUUCUCACCUUUAACCAUUUCCUUGUUACGCACCUUUCGGGUUAUAAAGGAAUGACAUCCGCGAGUUCUAAAUUUUAAAAGCUCGGGGCACGAGAAAAAUGAGGUUGAAGUAUUUUAGAGGAAGAAGAACGUUCGUGGUUUAUAAGUCGUCAACGUUAACCUACAAUUCUUAACCAACACCUUAAAGGCUUAAACGUGAACCUAAAUUGUCUAGACCUGAUAUAAAAGAAGUAACAAUGGCCGAGAAUUUUUUCCUGCAAUCAAAUUUUAAAAUAAACUUUGACAGUUCUUUCGGUCUAGGUUAUUUGUUUACAUAUUUAGCACGUAGCAGAGGAUAGUGCAACGUUUUAAAAGGUUACGAGAUGAUAUA
This is a long non-coding RNA of Centruroides sculpturatus (bark scorpion), 658 nucleotides long. RefSeq lists it as uncharacterized. The record is from RefSeq and is a predicted model, not a curated record. The transcript has 3 exons. NCBI's taxonomy places the organism in Eukaryota, Metazoa, Arthropoda, Arachnida, Scorpiones, Buthidae.